UGGGGAAUUUUGGACAAUGGGGGAAACCCUGAUCCAGCCAUCCCGCGUGUGCGAUGAAGGCCUUCGGGUUGUAAAGCACUUUUGGCAGGAAAGAAACGUCGUGGGUUAAUACCCCGCGAAACUGACGGUACCUGCAGAAUAAGCACCGGCUAACUACGUGCCAGCAGCCGCGGUAAUACGUAGGGUGCAAGCGUUAAUCGGAAUUACUGGGCGUAAAGCGUGCGCAGGCGGUUCGGAAAGGAAGAUGUGAAAUCCCAGAGCUUAACUUUGGAACUGCAUUUUUAACUACCGGGCUAGAGUGUGUCAGAGGGAGGUGGAAUUCCGCGUGUAGCAGUGAAAUGCGUAGAUAUGCGGAGGAACACCGAUGGCGAAGGCAGCCUCCUGGGAUAACACUGACGCUCAUGCACGAAAGCGUGGGGAGCAAACAGGAUUAGAUACCCUGGUAGUCCACGCCCUAAACGAUGUCAACUAGCUGUUGGGGUCUUCGGACCUUGGUAGCGCAGCUAACGCGUGAAGUUGACCGCCUGGGGAGUACGGUCGCAAGAUU
This 547-nucleotide ribosomal RNA is filed under the name uncultured bacterium. Its description in RNAcentral is "partial 16S ribosomal RNA". It matches the Rfam family "Bacterial small subunit ribosomal RNA", at positions 355 to 895 of the family's 1533-position model. The record is from RNAcentral.